RNAcentral lists this ribosomal RNA (486 nucleotides) under uncultured bacterium. Its description in RNAcentral is "partial 16S ribosomal RNA". It matches the Rfam family "Bacterial small subunit ribosomal RNA", at positions 30 to 507 of the family's 1533-position model. The record is from RNAcentral.
AUUGAACGCUGGCGGCAUGCCUUACACAUGCAAGUCGAACGGCAGCACGGGUGCUUGCACCUGGUGGCGAGUGGCGAACGGGUGAGUAAUACAUCGGAACAUGUCCUGUAGUGGGGGAUAGCCCGGCGAAAGCCGGAUUAAUACCGCAUACGAUCUACGGAUGAAAGCGGGGGACCUUCGGGCCUCGCGCUAUAGGGUUGGCCGAUGGCUGAUUAGCUAGUUGGUGGGGUAAAGGCCUACCAAGGCGACGAUCAGUAGCUGGUCUGAGAGGACGACCAGCCACACUGGGACUGAGACACGGCCCAGACUCCUACGGGAGGCAGCAGUGGGGAAUUUUGGACAAUGGGCGAAAGCCUGAUCCAGCAAUGCCGCGUGUGUGAAGAAGGCCUUCGGGUUGUAAAGCACUUUUGUCCGGAAAGAAAUCCUUGGCUCUAAUACAGUCGGGGGAUGACGGUACCGGAAGAAUAAACACCGGCUAACUACGUG